GUCUACAACUACAGGGCGGCUGAGUGGAUCCGUACCAAGCAGCGGCACCUAAAAUAGGAUGAGGGAGAAAUGCAGAAAAACUUAUUACCCUGCUUUAGGAGCAUGGUAAGAUACCCUAUGUGGACAAAAUUAAUCCAGAGCCUUUCGUUACACUGUCCCCCAUAAGCCGCUGUGCAGCUCAGGAAUGUUAAGCACCAUAAUUUAUUUUAAUUAUUAGUCUCGGUCAUGUGAAUGUACAAACCAAAAUCUUGCAUAAGUACAUAAUCCGUUGCGGGCUAACUUCGCUGUGUCUGCUGCCUCCAUUGCUGCUCUCAAAAUUACAAGACACAACUUUUGCAUGUUUAUGUGCAUCAUCACGGCAUAAAGUCCGUACCAUGAAGCUGAAUACACCAAUAACAAAAAAAAAAAAAAAGAAUAAA
Molecule: long non-coding RNA, 419 nt
Organism: Dermacentor silvarum
Lineage: Eukaryota; Metazoa; Arthropoda; Arachnida; Ixodida; Ixodidae
Exons: 2
Source: RefSeq, a predicted model, not a curated record